Musa acuminata AAA Group (dessert banana) is the source of this 1168-nucleotide long non-coding RNA. RefSeq lists it as uncharacterized. NCBI's taxonomy places the organism in Eukaryota, Viridiplantae, Streptophyta, Magnoliopsida, Zingiberales, Musaceae. The transcript is spliced from 3 exons. The record is from RefSeq and is a predicted model, not a curated record.
CCCCUUUUAUUCUUUUUUCCCCCUUGUAAAAACGUCGAGCCCUGUUCAUGUUCUUCCUUGGGUUCUCGACAGAUCCAUAUGCUUCGAUCGAUUCAUCUCCUUCGAUCCAUUGUUCUUCUUGCGAUCCCACGCCACUUCCGCUCGCUGCGCAUCGUCGCCGCAGAGCGGCUGCCGGAUGACUGGGAUCAUGUGGCGGUGGCUUGAAACCCUAAUUGCUGAGACCGGAUGAAAGUGACCUGAAACCUGGGGACGAUCCAAGCUUGUCGAUGGGAUUUCUUGGACGUGUUCCUCUACCGGAAAUUGAUUCUACUGUUGAUAAAGGAAGGAUGGCUGAAGCUUUUGAAGUUGGUUUGCUUGGGAUCUGUUGAGUUAUAUAUGGCCCUCUUUUAUAUGUUGGAAAUGGUUCUGGCUCAAAAUUUUUUUAUGGCAAAAUACACGUCCAUUUUCUGAAUGAAAAUGAACAACCUUAAUCAGUAAAUAUGGCUGUAGAAUUUUAGAAAUGAUCAGUAAUGAAUUGACUCAUAAGAGCUACAUUGAUGAGCAUAGCUCCUGAUUAUAUGGUUUGCUGAAGAAUCUGAUUUGUGUAUAGCUGGUGAGUUUCUUUACUGUUCAUACAGCAUGCAGGUUGCAAAGCCUCUGCAUAUGGUUCUGAUAGCCAACCAUCGGAGGGGGAGCUUAUGAUGGAAGGCACUGGCGUGGUAUGGCAGUUGAACUCAAGUUUCUUCCACCUUUCCCAUGCUUCUUGACAAGAUUAUUUUGCUUGUACAUGUCUAGACUGCAAUGCAGAAAUCUAAUUAACUACACUGCAGUUGAAAAUCUAUCAAAUGGUUAAAAUGCAUUUUGCAGUCUAUAUUGGUAAUACAAUGAUCUAUUAGAAAAAGGAAAUUAUGAUCGUGACCACCCAUGCUUUUUAGCAGUUGUCUGCCGUGACAAAAGUUAUUUCAGGCACUCUACAUAAUGUGUCUCUUCGCCCUCGUGCUUUAGGUGUGUUGUGACUGCUACUAACAACACCAUGCGAACUUUGUAUGUUCAACUUAAACACUUUUUUCUUGUAGUCAUUUCAAAUUUAUUGUUUUUCGUUGAAUUUCUUGUAUGCAAAAAACAAUGCCUAUCGGACUACUCUUUUAAGUGUAGAUUAACAGUAAUGAAAAAUACAAUGUUUUCAUCC